GACUACUGGGGUAUCUAAUCCUGUUUGCUCCCCACGCUUUCGUGCAUGAGCGUCAGUACAGGCCCAGGGGAUUGCCUUCGCCAUCGGUGUUCCUCCGCAUAUCUACGCAUUUCACUGCUACACGCGGAAUUCCAUCCCCCUCUGCCGUACUCUAGCUGUGCAGUCACAAGUGCAAUUCCCAAGUUGAGCUCGGGGAUUUCACACCUGUCUUACACAACCGCCUGCGCACGCUUUACGCCCAGUAAUUCCGAUUAACGCUUGCACCCUACGUAUUACCGCGGCUGCUGGCACGUAGUUAGCCGGUGCUUAUUCUUACGGUACCGUCAUGACCUCCCUGUAUUAGAAGAAGGCUUUUCGUUCCGUACAAAAGCAGUUUACAACCCGAAGGCCUUCGUCCUGCACGCGGUAUUGCUGGAUCAGACUUGCGCCCAUUGUCCAAAAUUCCCCACUGCAGCCACCCGUAGG
This 465-nucleotide ribosomal RNA is filed under the name uncultured Comamonadaceae bacterium. RNAcentral's name for it is "partial 16S ribosomal RNA". Lineage: Bacteria; Pseudomonadati; Pseudomonadota; Betaproteobacteria; Burkholderiales; Comamonadaceae. The record is from RNAcentral.